GUCCAACCGAAACCUCCGCCGAGCCGCAAAUGGGCGACCUUCCCGGAACGUGUGAGAAAACAUUCUAGCGACUUGUGACGGCCUGACAGGAACACUCCAAUGUCCUAUACAAGGACCAGCUGGCGUGCAAUGUUCCCAUCAUGCAUCAGCGGCGCCCGUAGUCAAGAGAGCCAAAGAGGCCACCAGGAACGUGCACUCAGACUCUGGACUUCUGGGUGAACCUUGGCCCCAGUCUGAGGUCCUGAGCACUCUGGAGAAGGUUUUCGUCCAGGAUAUCCCUGUACUUGGCCGCAUUCAUCUUUUCUUCAAUUGCAACCAGUCUCCUUGUCCCUGCAGCUGAACCCCCCCCCCCCCCUCCCAGCAUGAUGCUGCCACCACCGUGCUUCACUGUUGGGACUGUAUUGGACAUGUGAUGAGCAGUGCCUGA
Phyllopteryx taeniolatus (common seadragon) is the source of this 427-nucleotide long non-coding RNA. RefSeq lists it as uncharacterized. The record is from RefSeq and is a predicted model, not a curated record. The transcript is spliced from 3 exons. NCBI's taxonomy places the organism in Eukaryota, Metazoa, Chordata, Actinopteri, Syngnathiformes, Syngnathidae.